This 449-nucleotide ribosomal RNA is filed under the name uncultured bacterium. RNAcentral's name for it is "partial 16S ribosomal RNA". It matches the Rfam family "Bacterial small subunit ribosomal RNA", at positions 330 to 793 of the family's 1533-position model. The record is from RNAcentral.
UCCAGACUCCUACGGGAGGCAGCAGUGGGGGAUAUUGCACAAUGGGGGGAACCCUGAUGCAGCGACGCCGCGUGGGUGAAGGAGCGUUUCGGCGCGUAAAGCCCUAUCGGCAGGGAAGAAGGAGGACGGUACCUGACUAAGAAGCCCCGGCUAACUACGUGCCAGCAGCCGCGGUAAUACGUAGGGGGCAAGCGUUAUCCGGAUUUACUGGGUGUAAAGGGAGCGUAGGCGGCAGUGCAAGUCAGAAGUGAAAGCCCGGGGCUCAACUCCGGGACUGCUUUUGAAACUGUACAGCUUGAUUGCAGGAGAGGCAAGUGGAAUUCCUAGUGUAGCGGUGAAAUGCGUAGAUAUUAGGAGGAACACCAGUGGCGAAGGCGUCUUACUGGACCGAAACUGACGGUGAGGCUCGAAAGCGUGGGGAGCAAACAGGAUUAGAUACCCGCGUAUCG